Molecule: non-coding RNA, 1459 nt
Organism: Camellia sinensis
Lineage: Eukaryota; Viridiplantae; Streptophyta; Magnoliopsida; Ericales; Theaceae
Source: RefSeq, a predicted model, not a curated record
AAGCAUUCUGACCUAAAUGGAUUGAAAACCUUCUAUGUUUAUUGUGGAUGCAGGCAAACUGCUGUCCUUUUGACUCUGGUUCUAUUUGACAUCCUCUUGUGAGCAAGGAAGGAAAACCUUGUGCGGGCUAUUGAGCAUGAAUCAAAUGGCAAUACUACUACUGCUUAUGAGUGCUAUCAAAAGGCUGUUGAUAUCUCACCUUCAGUGGCAUAUGAACUAAUUCAGAUCAUCUACAAGAUGGACAAGUUUGGGCCAGGUGUUGAAUUUUGAUACUCUAUGCUACAACAGAACAGAGAACUAAAUCUUACAGGAUUUACUAUGCAAAUGCUUCUUGAGAUAUGUAUUCUGAGUGGGUGUGACUAUUCGCAGUCAUUGCCUGGAAUGGGCUUGAAAAAGGCUCAUGCACUAGUGAAAAAGUUCAAAUGUCAUGACAAGGUAAUCAAGCAUUUAAAAUACAGCACCGUUGCUGUAUCUCCUAGCUAUGAAGAAUCAUUUAAGAAAGCUGUACUGACUUUCCAGCAUCAACGAGUUUAGGACCCUAUGAUCGAAGAUAUUGUACAUUUGUCUGACCUACCUGAUAAUGUUGGCGAUGAUUUAGACUUCUUAGGCCAAUAUCCUUGAUUUAAUGCUAAUAGUAAUUUGAUGCUUUGCUACAUAUGUGGUUCCACUAUGUCUCAGUUUUUUUUGUAUCAAACCUUAACAAGGGACACAUCGAUACCUCAACAUAUAGAAAAAGGAAUAGCAAGAGGUGAUAUUAAACCUUUUAGUAGAAUGCCCUUUCAGGUAACAUAUUUUAUUUUUUUUCCCUCCUUGUAAUAGCAGUAAGAACUUAUUUUCUGAUUCUUUAAUAUUUUUAUGUCCUAAGCCACAUUUGUUUCUCUAGAAUCAAAAAUAUUGGUUUUGCUUUCACGUCACUUCUACUUCAUCAUGUCACUUCUUCUUUAGGGAAUAUACAUAAUUUCCUUUAGUUCAACUCAGGUGAAUGUUUUGUGCAGGGUGUAUACUUUAACAAAAUUAUGAGGAUGAAUUGUUUACAACCAUAUUGGUGUAAUAGGUGAAAGUGCUCUUCUUUAUGUCAUUCAGCCCUGCAGAAAUAUGCAUAAUUUCCUUUAGUUCAAUUGUGAUAAUGAAUUCUCCAUGCCACUCUGCCCUGGUGCAAUAUGCAUAAUUUGCUUUAGUUCAAUUUUGUGUUGGGAGUAUACGUAAACCAAUGAUAAGUUGUUUACAGCCAUAUUGGUGUGUGAAAUUAUUUAUGAAUAAGAUAAACAGAUAGGAUAGGUUAAUGAAAUCAACAAGGGCUUUAUCCAAACCUGGGUAGGAUACAUAGUUUUUUUUUAUUUUAUUUUAACAUUUGUCCCCAUCUAGAGCUAUUUUAGAUGGGAAGACAAAUUUGCACUAUAGUCCAUAGUGGAAUGAAUUCUAGAGAGAACACUAUGUUCAAGGGCUGCCUCCUUGAUUG